This 80-nucleotide small RNA is filed under the name Paenarthrobacter ilicis. RNAcentral describes it as "microRNA MIR1846". The record is from RNAcentral. Lineage: Bacteria; Bacillati; Actinomycetota; Actinomycetes; Micrococcales; Micrococcaceae.
CCGGCCCGCAAGACAUUAAGGGAGGGUCCCGGCCGCUGGGUUCAGCGGCCGGGACCCUCCCUUAAUGUCUUGAGUGUUUG